GAUCCUGGCUUAGGAUGAACGCUGGCGGCGUGCUUAACACAUGCAAGUCGAACGAAGCAAUUAAGCGGAAGUUUCGGAUGGAAGCUUAAUUGACUUAGUGGCGGACGGGUGAGUAACCCGUGGGUAACCUGCCUUAUACUGGGGGAUAACAGUUGGAAACGACUGCUAAUACCGCAUAAUAAAGAAUAUCGCAUGAUUUUCUUUUGAAAUAUUUAUAGGUAUAAGAUGGACCCGCGUCUGAUUAGCUAGUUGGUGAGGUAACUGCUCACCAAGGCGACGAUCAGUAGCCGGCUUGAGAGAGUGACCGGCCACAUUGGGACUGAGACACGGCCCAAACUCCUACGGGAGGCAGCAGUGGGGAAUAUUGCACAAUGGGGGAAACCCUGAUGCAGCGACGCCGCGUGAGUGAAGAAGUAUUUCGGUAUGUAAAGCUCUAUCAGCAGGGAAGAUAAUGACGGUACCUGACUAAGAAGCCCCGGCUAACUACGUGCCAGCAGCGGC
This 501-nucleotide ribosomal RNA is filed under the name uncultured bacterium. RNAcentral describes it as "bacterial SSU rRNA". It matches the Rfam family "Bacterial small subunit ribosomal RNA", at positions 15 to 518 of the family's 1533-position model. The record is from RNAcentral.